GCAGCUGUAGCUCAACUGGCUAGAGCGCCGGAUUGUGGUUCCGGAGGUUGUGGGUUCGACCCCCACCAGCUGUA
This 74-nucleotide transfer RNA is filed under the name Pseudomonadota bacterium. RNAcentral describes it as "tRNA-His". It matches the Rfam family "tRNA". From Rfam's summary of the family: Transfer RNA (tRNA) molecules are approximately 80 nucleotides in length. Their secondary structure includes four short double-helical elements and three loops (D, anti-codon, and T loops). RNAcentral also lists the same sequence under 2 other names. The record is from RNAcentral. Lineage: Bacteria; Pseudomonadati; Pseudomonadota.